RNAcentral lists this ribosomal RNA (449 nucleotides) under uncultured bacterium. RNAcentral describes it as "partial 16S ribosomal RNA". It matches the Rfam family "Bacterial small subunit ribosomal RNA", at positions 329 to 794 of the family's 1533-position model. The record is from RNAcentral.
GUCCAGACUCCUACGGGAGGCAGCAGUGGGGGAUAUUGCACAAUGGGGGAAACCCUGAUGCAGCGACGCCGCGUGAGUGAAGAAGUAUUUCGGUAUGUAAAGCUCUAUCAGCAGGGAAGAAAAUGACGGUACCUGACUAAGAAGCCCCGGCUAACUACGUGCCAGCAGCCGCGGUAAUACGUAGGGGGCAAGCGUUAUCCGGAUUUACUGGGUGUAAAGGGAGCGUAGACGGCAAUGCAAGCCAGAUGUGAAAGCCCGGGGCUCAACCCCGGGACUGCAUUUGGAACUGUGUAGCUGGAGUGUCGGAGAGGCAGGCGGAAUUCCUAGUGUAGCGGUGAAAUGCGUAGAUAUUAGGAGGAACACCAGUGGCGAAGGCGGCCUGCUGGACGAUGACUGACGUUGAGGCUCGAAAGAGUGGGGAGCAAACAGGAUUAGAUACCCCUGUAAGA